Vespa mandarinia (Asian giant hornet) is the source of this 222-nucleotide long non-coding RNA. Lineage: Eukaryota; Metazoa; Arthropoda; Insecta; Hymenoptera; Vespidae. The record is from RefSeq and is a predicted model, not a curated record.
AGUAGUAGGAAUAGUCGAAGUCGUAUAGACUGGACUAGUCCUACAGAGGUAACCAUGUAAGAAAAAAGCGCUGGGAGUUCUACUUCAUAGAUUUAUAUACUAAUUCUUACCUGUCAAUUAUAUUUAUUAUUUCUUAUGCAUUUAUCGUAAAACAAAUACGUACCGACAUCGUAUCUAACACGGAUCACUGCGAGACGCAAGCUACCAUUAAAAUAAGAUAUA